GACGUAGGGUGCGAGCGUUGUCCGGAUUUAUUGGGCGUAAAGAGCUCGUAGGCGGCUCGUCGCGUCGGCUGUGAAAACCCGCGGCUUAACUGUGGGCUUGCAGCUGAUACGGGCGGGCUAGAGUUCGGUAGGGGAGACUGGAAUUCCUGGUGUAGCGGUGAAAUGCGCAGAUAUCAGGAGGAACACCAAUGGCGAAAGCAGCUCUCUGGGACGGUACUGACGCUGAGACGCGAAAGCGUGGGGAGCGAACAGG
This 253-nucleotide ribosomal RNA is filed under the name uncultured bacterium. RNAcentral's name for it is "partial 16S ribosomal RNA". It matches the Rfam family "Bacterial small subunit ribosomal RNA", at positions 524 to 776 of the family's 1533-position model. The record is from RNAcentral.